UAAUCCAAAGCAGGCCAUUUCAGGA
This 25-nucleotide non-coding RNA is filed under the name Mus musculus (house mouse). Lineage: Eukaryota; Metazoa; Chordata; Mammalia; Rodentia; Muridae. The record is from RNAcentral.